This 2394-nucleotide ribosomal RNA is filed under the name Staphylococcus aureus. RNAcentral's name for it is "partial 23S ribosomal RNA". It matches the Rfam family "Bacterial large subunit ribosomal RNA", at positions 1 to 2393 of the family's 2925-position model. Lineage: Bacteria; Bacillati; Bacillota; Bacilli; Caryophanales; Staphylococcaceae. RNAcentral also lists the same sequence under 1 other name. The record is from RNAcentral.
GAUUAAGUUAUUAAGGGCGCACGGUGGAUGCCUUGGCACUAGAAGCCGAUGAAGGACGUUACUAACGACGAUAUGCUUUGGGGAGCUGUAAGUAAGCUUUGAUCCAGAGAUUUCCGAAUGGGGAAACCCAGCAUGAGUUAUGUCAUGUUAUCGAUAUGUGAAUACAUAGCAUAUCAGAAGGCACACCCGGAGAACUGAAACAUCUUAGUACCCGGAGGAAGAGAAAGAAAAUUCGAUUCCCUUAGUAGCGGCGAGCGAAACGGGAAGAGCCCAAACCAACAAGCUUGCUUGUUGGGGUUGUAGGACACUCUAUACGGAGUUACAAAGGACGACAUUAGACGAAUCAUCUGGAAAGAUGAAUCAAAGAAGGUAAUAAUCCUGUAGUCGAAAAUGUUGUCUCUCUUGAGUGGAUCCUGAGUACGACGGAGCACGUGAAAUUCCGUCGGAAUCUGGGAGGACCAUCUCCUAAGGCUAAAUACUCUCUAGUGACCGAUAGUGAACCAGUACCGUGAGGGAAAGGUGAAAAGCACCCCGGAAGGGGAGUGAAAUAGAACCUGAAACCGUGUGCUUACAAGUAGUCAGAGCCCGUUAAUGGGUGAUGGCGUGCCUUUUGUAGAAUGAACCGGCGAGUUACGAUUUGAUGCAAGGUUAAGCAGUAAAUGUGGAGCCGUAGCGAAAGCGAGUCUGAAUAGGGCGUUUAGUAUUUGGUCGUAGACCCGAAACCAGGUGAUCUACCCUUGGUCAGGUUGAAGUUCAGGUAACACUGAAUGGAGGACCGAACCGACUUACGUUGAAAAGUGAGCGGAUGAACUGAGGGUAGCGGAGAAAUUCCAAUCGAACCUGGAGAUAGCUGGUUCUCUCCGAAAUAGCUUUAGGGCUAGCCUCAAGUGAUGAUUAUUGGAGGUAGAGCACUGUUUGGACGAGGGGCCCCUCUCGGGUUACCGAAUUCAGACAAACUCCGAAUGCCAAUUAAUUUAACUUGGGAGUCAGAACAUGGGUGAUAAGGUCCGUGUUCGAAAGGGAAACAGCCCAGACCACCAGCUAAGGUCCCAAAAUAUAUGUUAAGUGGAAAAGGAUGUGGCGUUGCCCAGACAACUAGGAUGUUGGCUUAGAAGCAGCCAUCAUUUAAAGAGUGCGUAAUAGCUCACUAGUCGAGUGACACUGCGCCGAAAAUGUACCGGGGCUAAACAUAUUACCGAAGCUGUGGAUUGUCCUUUGGACAAUGGUAGGAGAGCGUUCUAAGGGCGUUGAAGCAUGAUCGUAAGGACAUGUGGAGCGCUUAGAAGUGAGAAUGCCGGUGUGAGUAGCGAAAGACGGGUGAGAAUCCCGUCCACCGAUUGACUAAGGUUUCCAGAGGAAGGCUCGUCCGCUCUGGGUUAGUCGGGUCCUAAGCUGAGGCCGACAGGCGUAGGCGAUGGAUAACAGGUUGAUAUUCCUGUACCACCUAUAAUCGUUUUAAUCGAUGGGGGGACGCAGUAGGAUAGGCGAAGCGUGCGAUUGGAUUGCACGUCUAAGCAGUAAGGCUGAGUAUUAGGCAAAUCCGGUACUCGUUAAGGCUGAGCUGUGAUGGGGAGAAGACAUUGUGUCUUCGAGUCGUUGAUUUCACACUGCCGAGAAAAGCCUCUAGAUAGAAAAUAGGUGCCCGUACCGCAAACCGACACAGGUAGUCAAGAUGAGAAUUCUAAGGUGAGCGAGCGAACUCUCGUUAAGGAACUCGGCAAAAUGACCCCGUAACUUCGGGAGAAGGGGUGCUCUUUAGGGUUAACGCCCAGAAGAGCCGCAGUGAAUAGGCCCAAGCGACUGUUUAUCAAAAACACAGGUCUCUGCUAAACCGUAAGGUGAUGUAUAGGGGCUGACGCCUGCCCGGUGCUGGAAGGUUAAGAGGAGUGGUUAGCUUCUGCGAAGCUACGAAUCGAAGCCCCAGUAAACGGCGGCCGUAACUAUAACGGUCCUAAGGUAGCGAAAUUCCUUGUCGGGUAAGUUCCGACCCGCACGAAAGGCGUAACGAUUUGGGCACUGUCUCAACGAGAGACUCGGUGAAAUCAUAGUACCUGUGAAGAUGCAGGUUACCCGCGACAGGACGGAAAGACCCCGUGGAGCUUUACUGUAGCCUGAUAUUGAAAUUCGGCACAGCUUGUACAGGAUAGGUAGGAGCCUUUGAAACGUGAGCGCUAGCUUACGUGGAGGCGCUGGUGGGAUACUACCCUAGCUGUGUUGGCUUUCUAACCCGCACCACUUAUCGUGGUGGGAGACAGUGUCAGGCGGGCAGUUUGACUGGGGCGGUCGCCUCCUAAAAGGUAACGGAGGCGCUCAAAGGUUCCCUCAGAAUGGUUGGAAAUCAUUCAUAGAGUGUAAAGGCAUAAGGGAGCUUGACUGCGAGACCUACAAGUCGAG